GGAUAAGAAGUGACCACAACUCGGAUAACAGCAUUGAAAUCCUUAAAUUUUGGAUUACCUCAAUCGAAGAUCAAUAUCAUGCGGUGUUUACUGAAUUUAAAGAGAGCGAAAGGAAAUAUCCAGAAGAGGAUGGAGUUGCUCAUUGGACAGACCAAAGAUUCAAUCAUCUGAUGAACAUGAGGGAAAAUUCUUUAAACUUUGCCAGGAACAUAUGGGCAGACUACUAUUUUUCAAUUGAUUCAGAUGUGAUUUUGACCAACCCAAAUGUAUUGAACUACUUAAUAAGCAAAAAUGUACUUGUAGCAGCCCCUCUACUAAAUUCCGCAGGUCUUUAUUCAAACUUCUGGUCAGGAAUGACAGAGGAUUUUUAGUAUAAAAGAAAUGAAGCUUAUAAACCAAUAUUAAACAGAGAAAAUGUUAGCUGCUAUUCAGUUUCGAUGGUUCAUAGUUGUGUAUUGGUCGACUUGAGGAUGCAAGAUAGUGAUUUCUUGACUUAUUUACCCUCAAAUAUUCCUAAUUACAUUGGACCUAAUGAUGAC
Long non-coding RNA from Anthonomus grandis grandis, 539 nucleotides. RefSeq lists it as uncharacterized. The transcript is spliced from 4 exons. The record is from RefSeq and is a predicted model, not a curated record. NCBI's taxonomy places the organism in Eukaryota, Metazoa, Arthropoda, Insecta, Coleoptera, Curculionidae.